AGUGAACGCUGGCGGCGUGCUUAACACAUGCAAGUCGAACGAGGACGGGCUAUAGCUUGCUAUAGUUGUCAGCUAAGUGGCGCACGGGUGAGUAAUGUAUAGGUAAUAUGCCUCUUACUAAGGGAUAACAAAUGGAAACGUUUGCUAAUACCUUAUACUCCUUAUUAACAGAAGUUAAUAAGGGAAAGAUUUAUUGGUAAGAGAUUAGCCUGUAUUGUAUCAGUUAGUUGGUGGGGUAAUGGCUUACCAAGACUAUGACACAUAACUGGUUUGAGAGGAUGAUCAGUCACACUGGAACUGAGACACGGUCCAGACUCCUACGGGAGGCAGCAGUGGGGAAUAUUGCACAAUGGACGAAAGUCUGAUGCAGCAACGCCGCGUGAGUGAAGAAGGUCUUCGGAUUGUAAAGCUCUUUUGCCAGGGACGAUAAUGACGGUACCUGGAGAAUAAGCCCCGGCAAACUUCGUGCCAGCAGCCGCGGUAA
This 484-nucleotide ribosomal RNA is filed under the name uncultured bacterium. Its description in RNAcentral is "partial 16S ribosomal RNA". It matches the Rfam family "Bacterial small subunit ribosomal RNA", at positions 29 to 523 of the family's 1533-position model. The record is from RNAcentral.